This 68-nucleotide transfer RNA is filed under the name Achalinus rufescens (Boulenger's odd-scaled snake). Its description in RNAcentral is "tRNA-Ser". It matches the Rfam family "tRNA". Rfam says of the family: Transfer RNA (tRNA) molecules are approximately 80 nucleotides in length. Their secondary structure includes four short double-helical elements and three loops (D, anti-codon, and T loops). The record is from RNAcentral. Lineage: Eukaryota; Metazoa; Chordata; Lepidosauria; Squamata; Xenodermidae.
GAGAGGAUAGCAUAAAGUGUGAUUGACUUGAAAUCAAUUGAUGGCGGUUAAAAGUCCGUCUCUUCUCG